Molecule: long non-coding RNA, 3034 nt
Organism: Phyllopteryx taeniolatus (common seadragon)
Lineage: Eukaryota; Metazoa; Chordata; Actinopteri; Syngnathiformes; Syngnathidae
Exons: 4
Source: RefSeq, a predicted model, not a curated record
UCUCUGUCAGGAUUUUAGUACCGUAUUUUCACGAGCAUAAGGCGCACCGUAUUAAAAGGCACAGUCUCAGUUACGGGGUCUAUUUCUGUAUUCAACACAUACAUAAGGCGCAGUGUAUUAUUGGGCGCAGCAUGGUAAAACAUACGCUAGCUUAAAACAUACGGUAGCAUGCAUGCACGCUAAAACAAUGUUUUUAAAAAGGCAGCGGGAGCAUAACUGAGUUCGGUUGUACUUUAUUGAAGUAUUUAACAAUGUACUCACGUUAUUUUUUGAUCAAUCCUCAUCCACAAAUCCAUCAAAGUCCUGCUGGUGACAGACAACACGGCAAACAUGAUCGUUGCAGCUCAAGUUGGGAAAUUUCGUCAUGUAAAAUGUUUCGCCCACAGUCUGAAUCUCACAUCUCAGCUAGCCUUAAAGGUGCCUACACUCUCCAGGCUUCUGGGAAGAGUCCGAAAAAUAUCAACAUUCUUCCAUCGCAGUACUGUAGCAAAUCACUGAAAGUGAAACAAAAAUGUCUGGGCCUGAAAAAUCACAAGCUAAUAACUGAUGUCUUUACAAGGUGGAACAGUGCAUAUGACAUGGUCGAGAGGUUCUUGGAACAACAACCUGCAGUUUGUGCCACCUUGCUGUCUCCAGAGGUCAGAAAGGGAGAGUCAGACCUCUGCACUCUAAAUGAAACAGAUGUGUCAAAUGCAGAGGAUGCUGUGUGUGCAUUAAAGCCAAUGAGGGAUGCAACCGCAUUGAUGUCAGAUGUCUAAUUGCUCCAAUAAAUGCACAACUCCUGCUAAACAUGACAGACACCAACAGAGACUCACCCAUGAUCCACAAGAUCAAGAAUGCAAUCAAAACAGAUCUGAAGAGGGACAAAAGUGAGGAGGAAAAGAAGAUCCUUGAUACUGCCGCUGCCCUCGAUCCUCGUUUCAAGGGACUGCCUUUUCUCACAGAAGAGGAAAGAUUGGACAUCUACAGAGAAGUGACUGAAGAUGCUGCAUCUUUGGAGAAUGAGAGUGCGCUAAUGAGGACAAAAGUAGAUGAAGCACCUGGGGAACAGAAACUCUUACAGAAGAAACAAAUGUAGAAGAUGGACCCUCUGCUCCAAAAAGAAAAACCUCAUUCAUCCCUGCUUGUGAGUUUGCUGGGACAGUGUUUCAGUGACACUCAAGGUACAAUAGAACCAAAGACCCCUUAUGCCAGGGCUGAAGAGGCAAUGAAGAGAUUCUGUAAAUCGUCACCCCUGCCUCUCACCGAAGACCCUUUAAAUUGGUGGCAUGUCCAUCAGGUCACAUUCCCCCUCCUCUCACACGUCAAAGUGAUACUUGUGUAUCCCAGGCUCGAGCGUGUCUGCAGAGUGGGCGUUCUCUACUGCAGGUGAUGUGGUCACUGCAAACACAAGUGCUCUUCAACCUGGAUAAACUAGUCUUCUUACAGAAGAACGUACCAGUUCCCAAAUGCUGAGCAGUUAGUCUGGUGUGUUAUGUUUGGCUUAUUCAAGAAGUGCCUUUGCCCAGUGCUGCUAUUUUAAACCUCUUUUUUUUUUUCUUUUUUUUUUUUUUAGAUUAGAGCACUGCAGAAUGUUUUGUUUAUGAUGAAGACUGUCCAUUAUCACACAAAUAGGCUAUGCCUGUGAUGUAUAUUUCUGUUUACAAUAUGAUUAAAUGGUAAACAAUGUUAACAUGAUGAUACUGUGAACAAGUGCACUACACGAUAUAUAAGCUAAUGGUUCGAUGCUUCCUGUUGUCUGGUACGGUGCUUAACUAAUAUAUUAGACCAGCUGUCGUAUUGGGGUUAAAGAGCUUCUACAUAUUGGUGUCUUGACCACUGCAGAAACAUAAAAAAAAUAUGUUUGUAAUUACCAAUGCUGUUAAUAGGCAUAAACCUUAUUUUGGUUAGGGGAGUCACAACCCAUCUGUGAUAGCUUGCACUGCAGAAUGAUUCAUGUUAUGUGAGGGUUGUGACAAAUAAUUUUCUCACAAAUAUGUGGGAGGCUAGGCCUAAACAUUAUUUGUUGGUUAAUUUAAUUAUUGAAUGUUUAGACAUUUCAACAUUCAAAUAUGUUCUUUUUCAAAGAGGUUCAAUGCACUUUAUAAACUACUUGACAGUUGGAUAUUUUAGCAUUUGUUGUUAUAAAUACUACUGUUAAAUUUCAUGUUACAUUUGAUGUGUUGAGCCUCAAUUCAUUUCUGUGAUGGGAUAUGAGUCUUAUACUUUAACCAAAUAUGCAAAUACACGUCACGUAUUGAUACGCCAUCUGAACAUUUUCAAAUCUGAAUGAUAUGGGUCAAGAAUCAAGUAUUCUACAAGUUAAAUUCAGUUCAAAGGUCACUGAAUCUUUUGUAUAGGCCUUCAUUAAAAGCUGUCGAUCGAAUACAUCCCCUCAGGUCAAGCCAGGUGGACGGAUAUGGGACCCAUAUUUAAGGCAAAUGCUUGUUGCCACUGUUGUACAGAAGCUUUGCUGCAUAUCUUUGCUUGGCAUCACCAGGCCCAAACUUGCAUACUGCAAUAAAAGCCACGAAAAAUAUUACAGAUUUAUUACAAAUAUGGGAAUUGCUAAUUAAUGGUGUUCUCUUAAAAUGUGUAACAGUUUCUGUACUAUUUAGUCCCUUUUAUUUUAGUGUGCCUAAAAUUUCACAUACCUGAAGAGAGGCGAUGGUGUAUGACCAUUCUGACACAGAGGUUGACGCAGAUGUUUUUGAAGAAAUAGUGAAGGAGUCACCCGGAACCUUCUGAGUCAUCUUGAGCAAUGAAGAACUCGAAGCAACCGCUGCUGAAGGAAGACAACCUAAAAGGUCAUACCACAAAAUGAGGCAAUAGUGUUGCUGGGCCAGGCCAUGGUAAACCCAGAUCCUUCACUGCUGACAAAGUGUUAUCUAAUGAGGAGAUCGAAGCAGCUAUUGCUGUUUUGAAACACACUGCUAAUAAAAACACAGUCCGUGAGAAGAUGAAAGCUACCUUCAGUUAUUGUCAAUCACUGAUCAACAAUGAAAAGAAAGCAGACGAUGUCUUCUCGGUCUUUCGACAGUUUCUGGACAUACCA